This is a long non-coding RNA of Thalassophryne amazonica, 101 nucleotides long. RefSeq lists it as uncharacterized. The transcript is spliced from 3 exons. The record is from RefSeq and is a predicted model, not a curated record. Lineage: Eukaryota; Metazoa; Chordata; Actinopteri; Batrachoidiformes; Batrachoididae.
UGUGGGGCCAACCAGGCCCCUAGCUGUAAAUAAAGACUAUUUGAACUUCCAUCUGUGUUGUUUUCUGCUCAGGGGUCUCCAGCUGUACAAUAGCCAUUACA